CCCGGCUUGGCCUUCCCGCAGAUCUUGGUUAUGUAUCUGUAUGUUUACUUAACUGUAUGUGUCUUCCCGUUGGACUUAAGCUCCGGGCAGAGGCGGCGGCUGUUUUGCGAGAAUUGCCCAGGGACAGGAGGCUUCCAGGAGCUGCGCGGCUGCAGCUCGGCCUCGGAGGCCCACGGGUGUUGUGCACUGCACGGAGGGACGGCGCGGGGCGGGCACCCCGGCCAAGCGAGCCCCCCGGCAAAUGCUGGCCCGGAACGAGGCUCUCCCAGGUGGUGACGGGAGGUGCAUCCUUCUCAGUGACCUCUUGUCUCUCGAGUCCGACCCGUAACUGCUCGCAGCGACGUGGACCCGAAGAGCACUGUCUUGCCACCCCCUGGGCCACGGAUGGCCCCAGGAGGACCCGCCUCCCUGGGCAGGACCUUGCAUUGGGCCCGCCCCCGCCAGAACCCAGCAGGCACCUCCGACCCUGUCUGGGCCUCAGCUCUCCACCUACAGGGUGGGCAGCGUCGUGUCUGCCCCCAGGUGGCUGUGCAUGCGGGACACGGAGCUGCCCCACGACCACCCCCGAGGCCGCCGCUCUUGCCGGAAGCUCUGCUCCUUUUCCGGGGCCACGAGGCUCAGGCCGGACACGUCCGAGGCGCCUGAUCCUCCUCCGUCUGUGUGGACACCGCAGCUUCUGAGGACGGCCCCCCCAGCCCCAUCCCCGGCCUCCCAGGCCUGGACCAUGGCUGUAGCUCAGUGGCUCAUUUCCACCCGAUUUGGCCCCUGUGUCCACUGCUCAUCCACAGAUGAGUCUUCCCGAAGCACAAGGUCAGGGACGUCACUCUCCCAGCGGCUCCUCACGGACGGUGCUCAGGGCCCCUGGCCUGGCCCGGGGACUCCUUCCCUGUGACGCUUUCUGUCCACACNNNNNNNNNNNNNNNNNNNNNNNNNNNNNNNNNNNNNNNNNNNNNNNNNNNNNNNNNNNNNNNNNNNNNNNNNNNNNNNNNUCCUGACUUGCUCACACUGCGCCGCCGCCCCAUGGCCCACCCCCCACCCCGCGGCAGGUUACCCCAGCUUCCGGGACCCUCGGUUCUUCGCCUACAUUCUUACCCUCAAAUCCGGCAAAUGCCGGAGCACCUCCCUCGUGCCAUUUACAGUUUGGAGAUGCUGCGUCCCUCUCUCCUCCGCUAAGUAGCGAGCUCCCCGAGGUCCGGAGUUGAUGCGCUUCACCCGCGGGUCCUGGGACUGAUCCGCCACGAAAGGGAGCAGACGGGCUUCACCCCAGGAAUUCCAGCUGACGCCGCGGCCCCAGGCCACAUCCUACCCCUCGAGCCAGAGCCCAAGGAGACAGCAGGGCCAGGGUCUGGCCAGCAUUCGGGCUCCAGCUGGUCUUGCUCUGGCAUCACGAGACCCAGGCUCCGGCUGUGAGGAGGACGUCCCGCCCGAGGGAAAUGGGGGCCACGGGAGAGAUCCCCCCCUCCACUCCGAUCCGCCAACAACCCGUCCUGAGAAUCCCACCGGCCGCCACCAGCUCCUGUUUCGGGGACGGGCAGCCACAGCCCGCAGGCCAGCUCAGGCCACCGCCUGCCCCUGUAAGGCUCCUCGGGAUCACCGCGCCCGCGCCCGGGCCUGGCUGCUUUCCCGCCAAACAGAGCCAGACACCACGAGGCCCCCCGCAGCCAAACACACCGACUCUCC
Molecule: long non-coding RNA, 1680 nt
Organism: Vulpes vulpes (red fox)
Lineage: Eukaryota; Metazoa; Chordata; Mammalia; Carnivora; Canidae
Source: Ensembl